AUUAACCUUCUUAACAGAGCUUUCAAAAUCAAGAGAACAUUAUAACGAGCUUGCAUAUAACAGUUGAUUAAAUACUCACUCUAACUGCAACAAUAGCAGAUCUAACCGAUUUUUAACAUGUUAACAUUUCUUCACUUUGAACGGAUGGAUUUCAAUUACAAAGGCAUAGUUCACUAAAAUACAACACAAAACCAACAUAGCACAUUCCCUAACUGAACUAACUAAAUUUCAAUACAAAGUUAACUAACAGCUAAGCACCUAACUGAUUCAAUAACAUUACAACUAAGUCAAUCACAAUUACACAAUUAACCUUAACUCCAUAACUAACUAAUUCUAACUAAAAUCUCUAGCAGUGUGAUAACAGAGUUUUUUCCUAACUAACUUACACUGAACUAAAAUUAACAGAGUUAGCUCUGUUAAAUCUCCAAUCUCUAUAGAUUCAUCACAUCCCCAAUCAUUGAAUGGGACCAAUGACUUCACCAAUUCAUCUCUAAAUUUUCAUCUCCCUCAUUCACUCUCUCUCCCACCAAACUCUCACAUAGAGCUCUAUUUGGCAGCCAUUGAAGCUUCAAUUGUGCUUGAGCUAAACCUCAAUUUCACUGCAUAUUCCCCUCAUACACGAGAUCCUCACUCUCUCUACACUUUCUCAUGCAUCACAAGGCAAAGAAACAAGAAGCAUAACAAGCAUUAGCAACGAAUAAGAAGGACCGGGAAGAAGAAUGAGUAAGGAGAACAAAUCAAACUCGGGGAAGAACUCACCUUUGAUUUUCCUUUGGAUUGCAUUUUUUAUCGACAAAAUUCACCCGGACAAAGCUCUGUCUCGCAAGUACGUACGCUCCUUCGAAGCUUUCCACAUUGCUCAAUAUGCUAUGUUGAUCUUUCAUAGAUUUAGGGAUUUAUUUUAGCAUCUCUUAUGUUUGUAACAGUUCGAAGUAUAGAGGAGAGAUGAGGAUGACGAGAUAUUGUUUUGAUUGUUGGAGAUUCUGGAGAAUGCGAAGAUGGUACAAACAGAGGAAUGCGAACAUGAUAUGAUUUCGUUUUCAGGUGUGAUUGAUGAGUUCAAUUGAAGGUUCCGUUUUAGUUUGCAAGGGAUUUUAGAAGUGAUAUAAAUCGAUUUUGACUGAGUCUAGGUUAGGCCUUGUAUUGUUGUCAUUGGCUGAUAUCUAUUGGGCAAGGCACAUAUGGGCUUAGAGAACUUUCAUUCCCAUACCCCCUACACGACCUCUAUACUCCCUCUAGAAAGCACAACCACAAUUGUGGGCUCAGUGGCCUCUUGGCCCACUGAUUUUGCUUCUGCACUCCACCAUGCAGUGUUGCACCCUGG
This 1324-nucleotide long non-coding RNA is filed under the name Lathyrus oleraceus (garden pea). RNAcentral's name for it is "Pisum sativum (pea) long non-coding RNA (PSAT_LNC037078)". The record is from RNAcentral. Lineage: Eukaryota; Viridiplantae; Streptophyta; Magnoliopsida; Fabales; Fabaceae.